UUGAAUCAUGUAGACUUGGGUGC
Molecule: non-coding RNA, 23 nt
Filed under: Cricetulus griseus (Chinese hamster)
Lineage: Eukaryota; Metazoa; Chordata; Mammalia; Rodentia; Cricetidae
Source: RNAcentral